GACGAACGCUGGCGGCGUGGAUUAGGCAUGCAAGUCGAACGGUAUCAUCCUUUCGGGGGUGAGAGAGUGGCGAACUGGUGAGUAACACGUAGGUUAUCUACCCUCAAGACGGGGACAACCCAGGGAAACUUGGGCUAAUACCGGAUGUGAGCAACUUUUAGUUGUUUGAAAGGUGGCGUAAGCUGUCGCUUGGGGAUGAGCCUGCGUCCUAUUAGUUAGUUGGUGAGGUAACGGCUCACCUAGGCAAUGAUAGGUAGGCGGCCUUAACGGGUGGUCGCCCACACUGGGAUUGAGAUACGGCCCAGACUCCUACGGGAGGCAGCAGUCGAGAAUAGUCUACAAUGGUCGGAAGACUGAUAGUGCGACGCCGCGUGAACGAUGAAUCCCUUCGGGUGUAAAGUUCUUUUAUAUGUGAGCAGUGCUUCUUAUAUUAACAGUAUGGGGAAGAGAUAUUAGCAUAUGAAUAAGCAACGGCUAACUCCGUGCCAGCAGCCGACGGUAAACUGU
This 507-nucleotide ribosomal RNA is filed under the name uncultured bacterium. RNAcentral describes it as "bacterial SSU rRNA". It matches the Rfam family "Bacterial small subunit ribosomal RNA", at positions 28 to 528 of the family's 1533-position model. The record is from RNAcentral.